GCGGACGUGGCGGAAUUGGUAGACGCAAGGGACUUAAAAUCCCUCGAUGUAACCAUCGUGCGGGUUCGAUUCCCGCCGUCCGCACCA
This 87-nucleotide transfer RNA is filed under the name Rhodopseudomonas palustris BisA53. RNAcentral describes it as "tRNA-Leu (TAA) (tRNA-Leu-TAA-1-1)". It matches the Rfam family "tRNA". Rfam says of the family: Transfer RNA (tRNA) molecules are approximately 80 nucleotides in length. Their secondary structure includes four short double-helical elements and three loops (D, anti-codon, and T loops). The record is from RNAcentral. Lineage: Bacteria; Pseudomonadati; Pseudomonadota; Alphaproteobacteria; Hyphomicrobiales; Nitrobacteraceae.